Molecule: long non-coding RNA, 251 nt
Filed under: Manihot esculenta (cassava)
Lineage: Eukaryota; Viridiplantae; Streptophyta; Magnoliopsida; Malpighiales; Euphorbiaceae
Description: long non-coding RNA (MESC_LNC012542)
Source: RNAcentral
UUUAUUCAGACUUUUUGCACUUUUAAUUUUGCUUGAAAAAGUCACCAACCUUUUGACGUGAAGGUACAUAUUUGUGAUACCCACCCCCAGUUACUCAGUUGGUCACCUUUCCAAGUGGCUACUAGCUCUGUUCUUAGUCUUUUGACCAUUGGAACAGUUUUUGAUUUGUGCUUUUGAGGUCUUUGCCUUUGCUGAAUUUUCUUUCUCUCAAUGAUUUGGGCAAAUCAACACCAAUUGCUAAAUCAAGUCAC